Molecule: ribosomal RNA, 885 nt
Filed under: uncultured bacterium
Lineage: Bacteria
Description: bacterial SSU rRNA
Rfam family: Bacterial small subunit ribosomal RNA
Source: RNAcentral
AGAGUUUGAUCCUGGCUCAGGAUGAACGCUGGCGGCGUGCCUAACACAUGCAAGUCGAACGAAGAGGCUCCUUCGGGAGUACUUCAGUGGCGGACGGGUGAGUAACACGUAGGUGACCUGCCCCGAAGCAGGGGAUAACGGCUCGAAAGGGCCGCUAAUACCCAAAAGGAUCGCGAGUCGCAUCGCGAUCAGAGUUACGGCGUUUCGGGAGGGGCCUGCGGCCCAUCAGCUAGUUGGUAGGGUAAUGGCCUACCAAGGCGACGACGGGUAGGGGGCUUGAGAGGGUGAUCCCCCACAUUGGCACUGACACACGGGCCAAACUCCUACGGGAGGCAGCAGUGAGGAAUAUUGCACAAUGAGCGAAAGCUAGAUGCAGCAACGCCGCGUGGACGAUGAAGGCCUUCGGGUCGUAAAGUCCUUUUCAGGGGGAAGAGUGAGGACGGUACCCCUGGAAUAAGUCACGGCUAACUACGUGCCAGCAGCCGCGGUAAAACGUAGGUGGCGAGCGUUAUCCGGAUUCACUGGGCGUAAAGCGCCUGCAGGCGGUCUUGUAAGUGGGGUGUUAAAUCUCCCGGCUUAACUGGGAGGGGUCAUUCCAUACUGCGGGACUGGAGGGCAGAAGAGGGAAGCGGAAUUCCCGGUGUAGUGGUGAAAUGCGUAGAUAUCGGGAGGAACACCAGUGGCGAAGGCGGCUUCCUGGCCUGCUCCUGACGCUAAGAGGCGAAAGCUAGGGUAGCGAACGGGAUUAGAAACCCCGGUAGUCCUAGCCGUAAACGAUGGAUGCUAGGUGUAGGUGGUCCUAACCCCAUCUGUGCCGAAGCUAACGCGUUAAGCAUCCCGCCUGGGGACUACGGCCGCAAGGUUAAAACUUAAAGGAAUUGACGG